Molecule: ribosomal RNA, 492 nt
Filed under: uncultured bacterium
Lineage: Bacteria
Description: bacterial SSU rRNA
Rfam family: Bacterial small subunit ribosomal RNA
Source: RNAcentral
GGCUCAGAUUGAACGCUGGCGGCAGGCCUAANACAUGCAAGUCGAGCGGUAGAGAGGUGCUUGCAUCUCUUGAGAGCGGCGGACGGGUGAGUAAUGCCUAGGAAUCUGCCUAGUGGUGGGGGGAUAACGUUCGGAAACGGACGCUAAUACCGCAUACGUCCUACGGGAGAAAGCGGGGGAUCUUCGGACCUCGCGCCAUUAGAUGAGCCUAGGUCGGAUUAGCUAGUUGGUGAGGUAAUGGCUCACCAAGGCGACGAUCCGUAACUGGUCUGAGAGGAUGAUCAGUCACACUGGAACUGAGACACGGUCCAGACUCCUACGGGAGGCAGCAGUGGGGAAUAUUGGACAAUGGGCGAAAGCCUGAUCCAGCCAUGCCGCGUGUGUGAAGAAGGUCUUCGGAUUGUAAAGCACUUUAAGUUGGGAGGAAGGGUAGUAACCUAAUACGUUGCUACUUUGACGUUACCGACAGAAUAAGCACCGGCUAACUUCGUG